AUACGGAGGACGCGAGCGUUAUCCGGAUUCAUUGGGUUUAAAGGGUGCGCAGGCGGCCGUGCAAGUCAGCGGUGAAAGCCCGGGGCUCAACCCCGGAAGUGCCGUUGAUACUGCAUGGCUGGAAUGCGGUCGAGGCGGGCGGAACGUGGGGUGUAGCGGUGAAAUGCGUGGAUAUGCCACAGAACGCCGAUAGCGGAGGCAGCUCGCCAGGCCUGCAUUGACGCUCGGGCGCGAAAGCGUGGGGAUCGAACAGGAUUAGAUACCCUGGUAGUCCACGCCGUAAACGAUGGGCGCUCGUCGUCGGCGGCAGACAGUCGGCGGCCAAGCGAAAGCGAUAAGCGCCCCACCUGGGGAGUACGGUCGCAAGACUGAAACUCAAAUGAAUUGACGGGG
Molecule: ribosomal RNA, 393 nt
Filed under: uncultured bacterium
Lineage: Bacteria
Description: partial 16S ribosomal RNA
Rfam family: Bacterial small subunit ribosomal RNA
Source: RNAcentral